AAUGUAUUUAGUGUGGCUGUUUAUUCCGGGUUUGAUUUCGUGUCUGUCUAAUUGCUGCUGUCACAUUUCAUUUGAAACAUUAUGCUGGAAUUUGUUUGUAUAUAAAUUGUUAUAGGACCAGUUUGAUUGUUAUCCCGUAAGAGCUUUCAUGCCGACUUAAUAUGAUGGGUCGAUACAUGUGUUGUAAAUUGCAUUUGACGGUCAUCAAUCGGGAGCCAAAGGCAUUUUGUUUGUAUUUAGUUUAGAGGCUGCAUUUUAUAUGCUGAUAUAUACUGAUAUGUCCAUAAAUAUAUGCAUAUUGGUUUGCCAAUGUUUAGCAGUGUUUGGUUUAAUGUGUUUUACACAACAUAUUAUUAUUGGCUCAUGAGCAUUGUGGGUAGUAAACCGCCUCUUAAUCAAGUUGGGCAAAUUCCUGUGAUUUAUUUUCUUUCAUUCAAACGUUGAUAUCAUUAGUAUUAAUUGUCACUUCAUUUCCAUUAAUUAUCGUAGCAUUGCUUGUUCUAAAUUGAUAUGGAUUAGUUCACAGUAUAGUCAUCUUGUCAAUUACAUGGUUGUUUUGAUUAUCACAAGAUAAAUUACAUUA
Molecule: long non-coding RNA, 583 nt
Filed under: Lathyrus oleraceus (garden pea)
Lineage: Eukaryota; Viridiplantae; Streptophyta; Magnoliopsida; Fabales; Fabaceae
Description: Pisum sativum (pea) long non-coding RNA (PSAT_LNC038777)
Source: RNAcentral